CCUACACUUAUGAUCGCCACCUCACCAUUACCUCCAGCAGUAGCACCGCCACCGUUGCCGUCAAAACCACCACUACCACCUCUCGACGGCAACACCACCAACACAAACAAAUUAACGCAUUGCAAAAAAUAAAAUAAAAUAAAAUAAGAUAAAAAUCACCACGUUGUCGCAACCAACAAUAAAACUAACACCUCACCACUGCAACCAGGCACAUCGCUACUGAAAAUACCACUACCAAAACCACCACUACCACAACGUCCACCAAAAGAAUCCCUAAGUUUGUUGCGUGGCACUACCACCACCACCACCGUAAUCACCCCCGCAUCAACCACAACACCACCACACACAACCCACCACAACUAUAUUACCACCACAAUAACCACGACGCCACCCACACCACAACAACACCACAACACCACCACCAACAAAGUUGUCACCACUAGAUCCAAUCCACUGUCAACAAAAAUCACCACGACCACAACUAUCGAAUCUCCAACCACCUUCACUACCAACCGCUCACAUGUUAACUAUUUAAUAGGUCACAAAUGCUGACCUACUCCAAUAGAAUUGCACCAUCACUGUCUUCAUCGCCACCACUAUUGCCAUUGUCGUCGUCGCCACGACCAUUUCGCAACACUAUCAUCACCAUACCACACCAUCAACACCACUGCACAUACCAUCAUAAAUGAAUCACACUAGCCUUCACCACUACCACUUGUAUCCUAUGUAGAUCCACCACACCACUGCACCGCCAAAUCCAACCAACACCUGCACCAACCAUGCCAAAACUUUACACUACCAAAAUAUAGAAACCAUCACCACCACUUCAACAACAUAAAAAUCCAACAAAGCCAUUACAACGAUGUUGAGAGAGAAGCCAUGUGCAACGACAAUCGUUAUCUGAGCACCACUCCAACAACCACCAUUGUCGAUUUGUGUAGAGUCGCACGCAGAGGUCGGGCUGCCACCUGGGAGCGUAGGUCCUCACAGUAGACAGCUCUCUUACAGCAGAGUAUUGAUUCUCUUGCAGUGGUGCCGGUCUUGCAUCA
RNAcentral lists this long non-coding RNA (1049 nucleotides) under Olea europaea subsp. europaea. Lineage: Eukaryota; Viridiplantae; Streptophyta; Magnoliopsida; Lamiales; Oleaceae. The record is from RNAcentral.